Molecule: long non-coding RNA, 1425 nt
Organism: Thunnus maccoyii (southern bluefin tuna)
Lineage: Eukaryota; Metazoa; Chordata; Actinopteri; Scombriformes; Scombridae
Exons: 3
Source: RefSeq, a predicted model, not a curated record
UCACACAAAAGAAAUACUAAAUCAGAUAGUCUAGUGAGAGGGCAAAGAUUGAAACUGCCAGUCUUGAGGCUCUCAAGAAGGAGCUCAGCCUUAAUGUGGAGACCCUACAACUAUGGGUGUGUGAUGUCAGGCAGUGGGCAGACACUGACCAAACAUUGGAACAGGUGUGUGUGUGCAGCAGGAAAGCAGGGAGGAUUGAAACGCAGCCUGGUGCAGCCUGGUGCAUGCCACAGCAGCAGCAGCACGUCAUUUAGAGGGGGAGGGACACUACACAUUAAUUAAUAUUUGCAACAAAUGUGUCAGAAUUAGCCACAGGGCUAGUUUUCAUCCAUAGUCCACUGUCAGAAGUUGACCUAAAACUAACUGAGUUUUUAAUUAUUUUAAAGACUGCUAAAAUAAUGACAGCAUUUUUCUUUUUUUCUUUCCUUUUUAUCUCAGCAACAUGAAACUGAGGUGGCAGAAAUUAAGCUGCGGCCCCCACGGUUUGAUACACUAAUGGGAAACACUGCUGCGUCUCUGACUAGCUCUGCUAUUAUCAUAAUACCCUGUGAUUAAGGUGAUACCUUUUUAAAAGCUCAUUACCAUUGAAAGUUUCAAGAACAUUAAUCUGAUUACAAGACAGAUUACCCGCUGCAGCCAUGUUAGAAAUGUUUUUAAUUUGGUUUUAGUGACUUAGGAGUCCUACUACUCCUAACUAUACAGAUUGCAGAGCUGGUUUUAGUGCUAAGACACUUUGUGAAAUACUCUUAUCUUAAAAAUUUAGGAGUUCUAAAGGGCUGACACAGCCAUUUUUUUUAGGAGUUGCUCCUAAAUCAGUGAGUUAGGGGCUACUUUUAGCCUAAAGAUGUUCUGUGAAUACAGUCGCUGUUUACUGUGGUCAACUCUGAACCCUAACAAGGAAAGAAAACAAACUUUUUUUUCAGUCUUAGCUCAUGCCAGCCAAGACAAACUGUAAAAGGAAAUUGAAAUCUAAACUUAACACACAGCAACUAAACAAGACAUUGUAAGCAGAGAAGAAUAAUGAACUGAAGACCAAACGUAGAGAGGCAAUAAAUCAGUACAACAGCCUGGCAGCAGAAGAAAGAAAUAAUCUUCAUAAAAGACUCGAAAGAAGAGGUAACAACAUUAAUCAGUAAUAACAGAAGAGGAAAUAUCAUCUUUGGAUAUAUUUUUUAAAUUGAAACAACUAGCUAGCUGUCAACUGCUACCUGCCACUGUUACCAACCUUCCAAAGAAGAAACUGAACUAAAGAAACUGAUGGAAGAGUGAUUUAUUAAAGACAAGAGGAAAAAUUAAAGGAUUCUUGUUGUUACCAUUCUCUCUCUCUCCAUGAGCUGAUGUGAUGGCAGUGCUACCAAUGUUUGUGGUGGCCUCUCCUAGUACCGACUCUUUGUCCAUGUCUAUGUCUGUAUCAUCGUGUGGAGU